CCACCUGCAAACAAAGUCUCUCUUUGACAUUUACCCACCACCGUUUCAACCUGCGCAGUCUCUCCUUUUCCCUCCCCUUCUGAAUUUUAACAAAUAUCCCUCUUCUGUAAAGUGGCUGGGAAAAAAAAAAGGAAAACAGAUCACAAUGGCUUAGACAAAUAAGCGUUUAUUUCCCCCAUCACUGUGAACCUGGAGACCAGCCAUGGUUGGCAUUGUUUCCCCAGCCCAGUGAUGGCAGGGCUGACGUCCUCUGUAAUGCGCUUGGCGUUUCCCCCUUGUUUACAGCGUGGCUGAUGCUGCUCCUGGCAUUGCAUCUGCCUCCGCAUUUAAGACAGAAAGGAAAAGGAAUGGUUACUUUCAGGGUUAAUUGAAAGCAUUUGUCACUUUUGUCAAUAAUUUCCCAGGCACCCCACCCCCUCACCCCCCACCCCCACCCCUGCCACACACACACAAUGAGAUCUAAUGAGACUCCUUAGAUGUCAUUGGCCAAAACUGUGUCACAUGGUCACUCCUAGCUGUAACAAAGGCAGAGAAGCCCCGAGCAGGAUCUCAUAUCACCUGGCUGAUCCUCCUGGGGUGGGACCAAUUCUGGAAACUGCAGUUGCAGGUGGAAGAACCUGGACUUCGGAAUCACAAAGACCUGAGUUCUCUGCUCCCCAAGGCCAGCAGUGAGUCCUCGAGCAAGUCCCACACUACAAAGGAGGAAACUGAGGCUCAGAGGGGUUUAGCGACACACAGUAAGCGCUCCAUCAAAAGCGGCCAUUCAGGCUGGGCAUGGCGGCUCAUGCCUAUAAAUCCCGGCACUUUGGGAGGCCAAGAUGGGUGGAUCACUUGAGCUUAGGAGUUCAAGACCAUGGUAACAUGAUGAAAUCCCACCUCUACAAAAUAAAAAACUAGCCAGGCAUGGUAGUGUGGACGUGUAGUCCCAGCUACUCAGGAGGCUGAAGGGGGAGGAUCACUGGAGCCCAGGAGAUCAAGGCUGCAAUGAGCUAUGAUAGCACCACUGCCCUCAAGCCUGGGCGACAGAGUGAGACCCUGUCUCAAAAAACAAACAGCCAGAAGCCGUGGCUCAGGCCUGUAAUCCUAGCACUUUGGGAGGCUGAAGUGGGUGGAUCACUCAAGGUCAGGAGUUUGGAACCAGC
RNAcentral lists this long non-coding RNA (1142 nucleotides) under Pongo abelii (Sumatran orangutan). RNAcentral describes it as "lncRNA (ENSPPYG00000038347.1)". Lineage: Eukaryota; Metazoa; Chordata; Mammalia; Primates; Hominidae. The record is from RNAcentral.